RNAcentral lists this long non-coding RNA (1493 nucleotides) under Trifolium pratense (red clover). RNAcentral's name for it is "long non-coding RNA (TPRA_LNC005597)". The record is from RNAcentral. Lineage: Eukaryota; Viridiplantae; Streptophyta; Magnoliopsida; Fabales; Fabaceae.
AUGAAUUCAGGGGGAGUGUGAGUGACUUUAUCUCUUGAUCGCCUGAAUGUAUUUGAUGACAAAUGUUGUGCCAAGUGUUAUGGCACCUGACUAAUGAGUCCACUAUCCAUUAUGACUGAGAAUUUAUUUUUCUCAGAUGUUUAUGGGGAUUUAUUUUUCCCUGUUGUUCUUAUGUUGAAGAAAUACGCGUUAAACUAUUAGGAGUUUAUUUCUCCUACUUCUUAGCAUCUACUUUGGGAGUUUAUUUCUCCCUUGUGUUGUUCCAUAAGGCUAGAUGUUUUAUUCCGCUGUUACAUUGCCUCUGAUGCUACUUGACUAUCAUGGAAGUAUUGAUUAUUAUGUGUUACUUUCUUUCCUAGUUGUGUGAACAUGUUGACUUGAAGGAAAGGUAAUACUGUAUCCCUCUAUAUACUGGUCUAAUAUUGUUUUAGCCAAAAUUUGCCAAAGGGGGAGAUUGUUGGGUUUUUGUAUAUUGGCUACAUUUUGCAAAAACAUAUUUUAGCCAAGUGUUGAGACAAAUGUGCUGACCCCAAGUGUUGUGACAAAUGUUGGGACACUUUGGAACGACACCUGACUCUGUAUCGUGCGCGCCAGCUAGCGGGUUUAAAUUUCUACUCAAUCUUUUGAAGAUCUGUUUGAAGAAUUGUUUCAAGGUUUCUUACAGAGGAAGGCGCACGUGUUUAAUGUGUUUCAUGAGGCAGCCAAACCCUAGUUUUAUUUUCCAAAGAAAUUAUAGUUUUGGAAAAUAUAUUUUUGCGUUUCAAAAAUAUAACUAUUGUUUUCAAAAAUAUAUCACAGCUGCCGCAAUUCUAGAAACCCUAAUUUUGUCUUGAAGCCCAAGUCAUUCUACUGCUAUAAAUACGAAGGCAAGCAUAUGGUUUCAAGCAUCUAAAAUCGUGUUCUUACAAAGCGUGUGUUUUAGGGAUUUUAGAGUGUUAAUUGUGAGCNNNNNNNNNNNNNNNNNNNNNNNNNNNNNNCAUUCCUGGAUUGGUAUCCCCCAGAGUAGGCUUUAGGCUGAACUGGGUUAACAACUCUCGUGUGUUAUUUACUUUACUGUUUGUAUUGUUUUAUGUUAUUUGCUCUGUUUAUAGACAAGUGUUGGCGCACCUGUAACAACAUCUGUCUACAACAGACAAGUGUUACUACACCUUGAGCAACACCUGUCCACUGUGUGCCAGGAAUUUCAGUUGUGAUCUUUUCUCCUUGGUUUAAUACCACAUGACAUGUCCUUAUGUAGUACAAUGACAUGUACUUGGUGUGAAAUUUCUAUUUUAUCCUUCCAUCUAGCACCAAAAUGCACUUAUGCCAAUUAAUUAUCCCUUUAUACUUAUUCACUUAUUUCCAAUUAGUUUCUAAUAAAUAUUCUUCUAUUAAUUAAAGUCGGGAUGUUACAAUCUACCCCCCUUAAAGGAAUUUCGUCCUCGAAAUUCAGAUUUUUCUUCACGCAACACCAGGGUAACCGUCUACGUUUCCGUCCGAUUCAUGACAUUGAU